This 340-nucleotide unclassified non-coding RNA is filed under the name soil metagenome. RNAcentral's name for it is "partial contains 5.8S ribosomal RNA, internal transcribed spacer 2, and large subunit ribosomal RNA". The stretch from base 6 to 121 matches the Rfam family "5.8S ribosomal RNA", at positions 39 to 154 of the family's 154-position model. The record is from RNAcentral.
GAUGAAAGAACUUAGCGAAAUGCGAUAAGUAGUGUGAAUUGCAGAAUUCAGUGAAUCAUCGAAUCUUUGAACGCACAUUGCGCCCCUUGGUAUUCCAUGGGGCAUGCCUGUUCGAGCGUCAUCUACACCCUCAAGCACUGCUUGGUGAUGGGCGUCUGUCCCGCCUCCGCGCGCGGACUCGCCCCAAAGGCAUUGGCAGCGGUCCUGACCGCCUCUCGCGCAGCACAUUUGCGCUUCUCGAGGCAUCGGAGGCCUGCGUCCACGAAGCCCAUCUUUAUUUUUUUGACCUCGGAUCAGGAAGGGAUACCCGCUGAACUUAAGCAUAUCAAUAAGCGGAGGA